RNAcentral lists this ribosomal RNA (774 nucleotides) under uncultured Neocallimastigales. RNAcentral's name for it is "partial large subunit ribosomal RNA". It matches the Rfam family "Eukaryotic large subunit ribosomal RNA", at positions 24 to 646 of the family's 3401-position model. The record is from RNAcentral. Lineage: Eukaryota; Fungi; Neocallimastigomycota; Neocallimastigomycetes; Neocallimastigales.
GUAGUCUCGCACAGAUGCAUAUCAAUAAGCGGAGGAAAAGAAACUAACAAGGAUUCCCCUAGUAACGGCGAGUGAAGCGGGACGAGCUCAAAUUUGAAAUCUUAAAGGGUUUCCCUUUACGAAUUGUAGUUUAAAGAAGUGUUUUCUGUUGAGGUUUUGGUAAAAGUUCUUUGGAAUAGGACAUCAUAGAGGGUGAGAAUCCCGUAUUUGACCUUUACUUUCAACUUUGUGAUACACUUUCAAAGAGUCGGAUUGUUUGGGAAUGCAGUCCAAAAUGGGUGGUAAAUUUCAUCUAAAGCUAAAUAUUGGCGAGAGACCGAUAGCGAACAAGUACCGUGAGGGAAAGAUGAAAAGAACUUUGAAAAGAGAGUUAAACAGUACGUGAAAUUGUCAAAAGGGAAGCGUUUGACACCAGUGUUGUUUUUCUGAAAAUCAAUUAAAGAACUGUUUAUGCUAAGUUGUUUAGACUUUAUCAGCUAACUGUUUAGUUUUGAGCUUUUCUUUAAUGCACUUUUCAGUUAACAAGUCAACAUCAAUUUCUUUUGCUGUAAAAAAGCUUGAGGAAGGUGGCUUGAGAUUCGUCUUAAGUGUUUAUAGCCUCUUGCCUAUGCAGUCGGAGAGAUUGAGGUCUGCAGCGUAGAUCCUUCGGGGCUAAAUGCAUUUGUGCUAAGUUAUAGCAUUUUAUAGACAACUUGUUGACUAUGAUUUGUCUUGUAGCUUACUCGCUUAUGUUAUUUUACCUACGCUUAGGAUGUUGAUCUGUAGUGCGUGCGC